Molecule: ribosomal RNA, 408 nt
Filed under: uncultured bacterium
Lineage: Bacteria
Description: partial 16S ribosomal RNA
Rfam family: Bacterial small subunit ribosomal RNA
Source: RNAcentral
AUUGAACGCUGGCGGCAGGCCUAACACAUGCAAGUCGAGCGGAGUGGCGAACGGGUGAGUAACGCGUAAUCAACCUGCCCUUCAGAGGGGGACAACAGUUGGAAACGACUGCUAAUACCGCAUACUAUCAGAUGAGCCUAGGUCGGAUUAGCUAGUUGGUGGGGUAAAGGCCUACCAAGGCGACGAUCCGUAACUGGUCUGAGAGGAUGAUCAGUCACACUGGAACUGAGACACGGUCCAGACUCCUACGGGAGGCAGCAGUGGGGAAUCUUCCGCAAUGUACGAAAGUCUGACGGAGCAACGCCGCGUGAGUGAUGACGGCCUUCGGGUUGUAAAGCUCUGUUAAUCGGGACGCGGUACCGGAAUAGAAAGCCACGGCUAACUACGUGCCAGCAGCCGCGGUAAUAC